Falco peregrinus (peregrine falcon) is the source of this 12426-nucleotide long non-coding RNA. RefSeq lists it as uncharacterized. The record is from RefSeq and is a predicted model, not a curated record. Lineage: Eukaryota; Metazoa; Chordata; Aves; Falconiformes; Falconidae. The transcript is spliced from 4 exons.
CUGAAUAAGUAUCUAGAUAAAUAAAUAUUCCUUUGUAGUCUUAUCAUUACGGGAAACUCCCUGUGUACCCAGGAUGCUGCACAGGUCACUGAGCAGUCAUCUCCCCAUUGCCCAGAGGCUUCUCAAGGGGACUCAUUUAUUUAAGUAUUUCAGUUUCUGGGAUGUGAGCCACAAUAUGUACCACAAAAAGAGAAAAGCCUGGCAGUUACCAGCAAACACCACAGAAAUACCAAAUGGAUUGGCAGUUUUUUCUUUCUCUUGAACUCUUGUUCCUCUGUUUCUCGGUGAAUUGUACGGCUGCAGAAGCCAGAGCAUCCCAGGAGGGAGAAGGGGAAGUCAGAGCCUAUUCCCAGGCUUAGACACAAGGAAGGAGGAGGGAUCCUCAAGCAAGUGUCCACAGGGCACCACCUACAAGAGCUCUGCUGAAGGCUUCAGAACGGUCCCUGAUCUGCCUUCCUGGCUCCAGAUGGUCACAAGGACCAGGCUGAAUGGCCACAGGCGUUGACAGCUGCAUGUGCACAGCAAAUCCAGGGCCUCGCGACAGCAACAGGGAUGUCUCCUGUCUCCUUAGGUUAUAUGGCACAAGGAAAUGCUGGCCUGGCAGAAAAAAGGAUUAGUAGGGCUUGGGAUGGAGCCACCCCGAAGAGGGGCGAGCAGAUGGUGGAGAAGGUAAGGAGGAGACCUCCUGUGACCAGCAACGCUGUGAUACCCAAGUGCUGUGGUCCCAUGGGAUCUAACCGCUGGCACUGCUGUUUACCCCCUGCUCCCUCCAGCUGAAGCUUGCUUAUAGAAAAGAACGUAUCUCAAUGCGAAGUUUUCCAGCGGGAAGAAUGUGUCCCGUAACCUUUGCACGGCCAGAGCAGCCACGAGAUGGCAGCAACCUUGUACUGCUCGGGCUGGGGAUCUGGCUCGGUGACCCACAUGUCCCACCCCUGCUUUUCCGUGCCUCUUUCACCUUGUAGGUGAGGACUCCAGGCUUGGAGAGCACCAAGACACACUGGCCCAUCCUCUGGGUUGAAGAAGUGUCCCCAGAACGGGGCUGUGCAAGACGCCCCGUGAGCUCAGCUCUCAUCUUUGCAAGCAGGCUGGUGGAGCGGGACUCACCCAGGUCUUCGUGUCCUACCAGGGAUCCCCAGACCCCACUGCGUGCCUGGGCUCUCUCAUCCAAAAUGUAUUUGUGGUACUCUUUCAACUGAUCUGAUCUCAAUCUAGUGAAUGAAAGCUGCUGAAAUCUCUGAAGGGCCACGUGGAAAUGACAGGACAGCCCCUGUCAUCUAUCCUUUUACUGUGGGCCAGCAUGGGUGCUGUGAAAGGACGAGGAGCAGCAAGUGCACAGUGAUUUGUGUGUAACAUUCGCUCUUGCUGAGAACGCAGACUCUUUCCUGCUGAGAAGAGAAAACGUUCUGCAGUUUUCAUUUCAGGAUUCUUGCCAGCUCUGGGCCAGUUUCUUCUGCAAUGCAAAGCUUAUUCUGGUGUGUGCUGUGGUGGCGAGGAGUUUUUCUUGUAGUGACUGUCAGCAGUGCUGUCCUCAGACAACUGCACACAGAUGAGCUCUGCGCUUUGCUCUAGCUCCUGAGCUAACGCAGCCAACACCAUGAAGAGUCGGUUGACUCGGGCUCCCUGACUUCUGGAUCAGUCCUUGUGGGGAUGUAGCGGAGCCUGAGGCAAAUGCAGCAGAAGGUGGCAGAAUCACAGAAUAAUACCGUUUGGGAGGGACCUCUGGAGGUCUCUAGUCCAGCCUCCAGCUCAAAGCAGGGCUAACUCCAAAGUUGCAUCAGGCUGCUCAAUGCCUUGCCCAGCUGUUUUGAAAACCUCUAAGGAUGGAGAUUUCAUAAACUCUCCAGACGAUGGAGGAUGAGAUCUGGGAGGCUGAGCUUGGGCUCAGUGGGGUGACCCCACUGGUUUGCUCUGGUGUGAGUGCUGUCAUUACUAAAUGAUAUUGGCUUCCCAUGGAUCCCUUCAGCCUGUGGGAAAAUCCUUCCCCCUGUCUCCAGCCUGAGGCUGGUGGCUUAGAAAUGCUAACCCUCAGCAUUCUCCUUGGAGGUGACAUCCCACAUCUGAGUCUGGUGUUGAACCAUUUGCCCCAGGCAGCCAGCUGAGCCUCCUGGGAGCCCUCAGGGCAUUCACUGUCCCUGCCUGUGGCCAGCUCCCUUGGCUGUCUGGGAGCCCUUCGGCAUUGUGCGCCCCGAUUCCUCUCCCUCCCAUCACUGUCUUGGCUUCCCCAUGAACCUUCCUUGAUUCUCUUACCCCAGAGAAGACUUAAACACCUCCAUGCACUCAUGCUGACUGAUGAUCCCUGGGAUUUUUGUAGCCCUUAUUUCUCUUGCCCAGGCCCAUUUUUACUAGGCAGUGCCCAAACAAAAUGGAAAAAUCCAAGCACUGUCCAAACCCUCUCCUCCACCCUGUGCAAACAGCCCCACUUGUGAGGGCGGAUUGCUCUUUUGUCCAUCAUUUUGCUGUUGUGCGGUGAUGUCCCCCCUGUUCUAAAAUAUUUUUGCCUGACGAUGAAUUAUUAAACAGUUUUUUGAACCCUUGCCGUUUCUGCACACUGAAGGCCUGAUCCUGGUGGUGCUGAGCGAUUGCUGUCAGGCACAGCUAUGCCUGAUUCCUCAGUAAAGUCUGUUUCGGCAUUGCACAACAUGUCUGUUCUCUGGGGGAGCCGUGCGCAAUCUCCGAUCAGGACAGACGUCUGAGCUUGAUCCCACUGGAAUGACGUCAAAGGCUGCAAUACUGUACCUCUUCCCAGUGCUGGCAGCGCCCGCCCGGCCUGGAGACGUGCCACUGCAGCGGCUGCAGCUGCGCUUGGAGUCGCGGGGCUGCUGCCGGUUCGACCCGCGCAGCCCAGUUAAUAGGUGACCAAAUGGCAGCCCAGGUGGCCCGUGUGGCUUUGUGCGUUGGAAAUCUGCUUACAUAUCUGGCUCUUCCCUGCAAAAAAAAAAAAAAAAAAAAAAGCCUUCCGGAGGGCUUUCACUGAAAGCAAAUUGAAGUUGUUUUUAAAAGGAGUAUCUUCUGAUGUUGACCUGUGAGCAGAUGAAACUCCAGCGAACUGACAGCCUCUCCCAUGCUUGGGAUGCAGGGAAAUGCCGUUCACCGCGGAGCUGCAGCAGGCGGCACAACGGAGGGUGCAGUACAUGGCUGGCUGUGCUUUGGCGCUCACCUCCGUGGCACCGAACAGGAGCAUGUGCCCUACACGCAGCUGUUUUGAACACUCGCUACUGAGCUCUGCUGAAGGCAACGGCGACGGUGAAAGCAGCAGCCUCAGCUUGCACCCAGCCAGCCACGGUGAAAUAAGGGUGACGAAUACACUGCUACACCUGACUGUUUGCACUAGGGAAGGUUUCCCAGUGUUGUAGGGAAGGAAGAGGACAGCACAUCCCUGGGGCAGCACAGACUGACUUCCCCGUGUCCCCAGGCACCCCAGCCCGCUGCACUCCCCAGAGGCUACGGCGGGGCAGGGGAGUUGUGAAAUGCCGUGGUGCUGCUCAGCAGGACGGGAUUCGUUGCAACCUCUUGGCAUGGUUACAAGCAUUGCCUGCGCCUCGCCGGCCCUUUGCCAGCCCUACCACUGGUAAGGCAGCUGCUGACAUUUCACAUCUGCCGGACCCAGCCUGAAGCGGGCUGAUUCCAGCUCUAGACUGGUGAGAUGAUGUUUUUGAUUCGGCCAGCUGUGUGCUGGCCCAAGCUAUGGCCCAUGGUGACAGCCCUGCACAUAGGUCAGGGGGAAGGAAGGAGUGUUGGACAGUUUCAGUUUUUAUACAAAUGCCCAGGCAGUUCUUAGGUUCUUCUUACAAAGGUGCUGACAGAUUAAGAACAGCUCCCAAGUUUUGAUUUUGGAAAUACUGGGAUUUUCCAAGCUGUAAAUCCAGCAGGAGGAGUUCCAGCGUGCCUGUGGUUGUGCGCAGCGCCCUUGCCUCCAGGCAGCUCCGCGCCGUUCAGUAGCUGCUCCCAGGGUGCUGCCACACGGGGUGGAUGCCCUGGGGAAAGUGGAAAAAAGAGUCUGUAAUGUUAGCAGGAACAUUUUUGAUGGCUCAUUAAGUGAAGGAACUACAAGAUGUAGCAGACUGUAUUUAAAAAAAAUUGCUAGGUUUACAAAAAUAGGAGACAUUGUUUUUGAACAUGCAGGAGCAGCGGUAAGGUAUCUUUAAAAAAACUUGUUAUUUUGAGCUGGAAAUAGAACUGAGACAAGUCUUGAAAGUAAAUAUUUAAUUACUGGAUCAAUUCUGAUAAAGAACCAGGUUUGUACUUGAUUUCUUUAGCCUCUGCUGAGCCCACCAGUAAAACUGAUUAGUACUGGUGUUGCUGUGGGUCCCAUCAGCAAAUAACUUACACUUGUGAUUGCAAUUGAUUUUGCAUGCUAAAAGUGAAAAACUUGGCAUCCCAGAAUCAACACCCUUCCCAUCUUCUCUGAUAGUGGUAAUUACCUUUUUUUCUGGGUGUAAAAGAAAAAAUUAGCUUUCUUGACUGGUCACACUAGUGAGGUUCUGAGAUGAAAGGCUGGCAUGACAAUACUUGGCUCUUUGCAGGGCAGAAAUUAGUCAGUAUUUACCUUAGGGGAUGUGGUAUUUAGGCAAGAAUUCCAAUGAGAAUUACAAUAGUGAACUUCAGCUAACUCUGACCAGUUUGCAUGAUCAGUGCUUAACUGUAAUAAGAGACUUGAUACCUGUUAAUUGACAGGAACUGUAGUGCUAUCUAGAAAAGCCCUGCUGCCUGCAUUAGUUCACAGGUUGACCACAAUGAAAUGCAAGCUUAAGGAAAAAAAAAAAAAAAAAAGUCCAGAUCUAAACGUUGCACAAGCGUUGGGGUAAAUCAGCUUUAGAGCCAAGGGCAGUUGCUGUGCCAUGCCUCUGCAGCAGACACAUCCCAAGUUCACUUGGUCACAUACUGGGUGAUGUGCAGAGGUUUAAAGCCAUCUUUUCUCUAGGAAAAAAUGAAUUAGCGUGUCAUUAAGUAGAGAUUAUGGAAGAAUGAAAUCAUUAAAUAAGAUGUGAUGUUCUUUCCCAUUCAGUGUUUACAGGUUCUUCUCAUAGGAGCUGCCAUAUUCCCUGUGCCAUUGGCACAAUUCAGGUAUCCUGAGAAAAAAAGGCUUUGUCAUCAUCUUUUUUUCUACAUAUUCUUUACCAGACAAUCCAAGUGCAUUUUAUGAACACCAGUUUGUCCAGUACUGCAUAAUGUCAAAGUUAUCUGGGGCCCCCCACAAAAGGACAUGGUAAUGGCUUUAAACUGAAAAAGGGCAAAUUUAGAUUAGAUAUAGGGAAAACAUUCUUCACUAUGAAGAACCAAAGCCAACCAAACCAAACCAUUGUAUGAAUCUAUUAUCCUUAGGGAACAGGUGGAGAAACUGAAGAGCGAGGAGAUGAGGUGAGCUGCUUCUGGCCAUAUAUAUAUCUCUAUCUAUAUAUCUACCUCAGAAUUGGGAAAGGACAUGGUUUCCUCUCAAGUGGUGUUUACGGAGAAAAAUAUAUGCCUGUAAUGUGAAUUUAGCUUGCUGUUAUUACUUUUGACUCCAGUAGGGGUGAGUAUUUUGCUCCCAAGCACCUACAGAAUAACAAAAUGUGCAUAUUUACAUCACAGGAUGUAUGACUAGAUUUUUCCCUAACCUUUUGACAAGUCCAAAGCUGGUGUGAAUGAAAACACUUGCUAUGAUCACAUCUGUAUUUUGAGAAAGAAUAAUCCAGGUAUGAAUCAGUGUUUUCUUCAUAGCUCACAUUGCUACUAAGGACUCAUUAGAUGAAAAAAUAGAAGAUUACAUCACAAUGAAUAAUUUUUUUAGAACGAGCAAUCAAUUUGUUUUAGGUUUUAUUGUUUGUUUAUUUGUUUUUAAUUAUUCUGCUGAGUAUAUCUGCCUUGUGACAAGCAAAGCAGUCAGGUCUCAACAGCAGUGAAAUAAAUCUCAGUCCGGGGUGAUGCAAAUUGGGAAGAAGCUCCAGAGAGUGGUGCUAUUUGAAACAAAUUGAGGCAUUAUUUUGAAAGCUUGCACGGAAGAACGGAGUUUUGCCAACUAUUAGAAUUGGACUUCAGAGCAACUGCUGAGUGGGUAAUUAGUCCCUCAGGAACACGGGAGUCUGGACAAAUGUAAGACAGAACAAGAGGGGGAAAAAAAAAGUGUAUGAAGAAUUAACUUUAGAAAACAAGCUAGAAUAUUAGUCACAGAAGCGAUGUAAUUCAACUUUCAUUUAACGUUUAUUUCUGUGAUGAACAGAAACGUUGUUCUUAAUCCCUGUAGUGAAGCAGGAAAAAGGAACCUUCUCGCUUUUGAAGGCAGCUGGAACUGUUCAUCUCUUUGAUAAGAGGGUGAAGAGGAGGGUAAAGAAAUGCACUGAACGUAUUGCGAACCCAGCAAGUGGGACUUACACUCAAGUGAAGCAGGGAAAGAAACCAGUUGUGGAGCUGGUCAAGGUAUUACGUAGUGUCUGUUGUCUUCGGUGACUCCCACGUCAUGAAGACAGAGCAAAUAGCCAAGUUUUAAAAGAUAAUGCCCCCCCAGUAUUUGUUCACAGCCUGUUUACAACAUACAGUCUCAUUUUCCUCUGUGGUGAGCAGCACCCCAGCAGCAAGGAGGUGAUUCACCUACCCAACACGUUGGAGGAUCUUGGCAUACCUCUUUGCUGGGUUUGCAAAGACCAGAUGAAAUACAACUACAAAGAAAACUCCAAGUAUGUGAGACAUUUUGAGGUUAUAUAGUGCACGUGUGGUUGGUCCUGCCCUUCCAGAGCUCCUGAUUCAUAGUCGUAUGCUGUAACUAUUGAACUAUACACUCAUUUGUAGAGUUUCUACACUUUAUUUUUGUGGUUUGUUGCUCCCAUUAUUAUCUCAACAGCAGCAAUUUGCUAAUUAGUCCUCAUUGUAGAACAGGACUAGUAUUGCUUUGGAUGUUUGGUGUUUAGAAAAAAGAAUGUAAUUCACGUGACUGGAGAAGAAGGAAGCAUUGCAAAAUCAUCCGAUAUAUUCCGGUAUGAAUCUAUGUAAAUGGGUCAUAUUCACAGAACUGUGUGUCUGGGGGCUUAACAGUAACAUCACAGCUGAAGGUUUGGGACCAGACCUCCAGACCUGGAUCUUCCUGAUUUUGAGGACUAUGUACUUUUGCACUGCCUCUACGCUAUAACCUCCACAGAGAUUGUCAACCUCCCUGUUGGGCUCUCACUAUAUCAUUGGUGGAGUGAUGGGGUCCCACUUGCUCAUUCUGCACUGGUACCCCCAGGAACACUGUCUGUUGGUGCCAAUGUGUUGCAUUUCUGACCGGGCGAUGCUCCUCUGUGACCUGAGCGAAGGUUACCAGUGCUUUCAUGUAGACUCUGUGCUUACUAUUUAAGGUGAGUAAGAGGCUCUGGAUUCCAUCGGUUGGGUCACCCUCUCUGUUUCCCAAUACGAUGCAAACGGCCAGACAAGCAGGCAGCUCUUCCUUGAAAACAUUCCCGUUCUCAAGAGGUGUGCCAGUUUCUGGCAGACGUGGUGUUGGCAAUGCACGAUGGACGCACCAUGGUCAUAGUUGUUCGUUCCUGUAAACACUGUCUUCAAAACCACUAUCUCCUCUCGACCACCUUGAGCCACUUCCCUGGAGUGCUCAGCAGAAGAAUCCUGCACAAACACACCCAGCUCUGGCGUAUUCCUUCCAGGAGAGGGCAGGGGAAUACAGUUUAUUGCAGAUCCACUACUGAAGAGGAGCCAACAUUCGUCAUGUCCCAGAUCUUCCUCUACAUCUUCCAGUCUAGUUUGCUUCCCUAAACUUGGAUGAGCAGAGGUAAGUGCUGAAUCGCCUCGAAGUGAGUCAGUGGGAUUUGUCACAUUUACAGACCUGCCUGCCCCUGAGUCAUUUUCAGGGGUGACAGCUUGGACUAAGCUCUUCCCUUUGCUCUUGAACCCCUUGCAGUGAGCCUCCUGUAUCGUGUUGGAGGCAUCGGCUUCCGUGCAGCAUCAGGACCAGGGUUUAAACAGCUGAGCCCCAGCUCUUCUGCUUCGUCUCACCACUAAGCAGAGGAGGCAGUGAUGGGACAACACACUCAGCACACCCAUAUCCCUGCAGAAGGUGGUCUAAUUCCCUUGGACAUUCAUAAUGUUGGCAGGUGCAGCUCUGCUCGGGAGUGCUUUUGCCAGAAGAUUAAAAUGCAGGGGUUCUGCAGGGCCACCCAGUGUUGGAGCUGGACCUGGUUAGAGAUGGCCUAGAGAGACACCAGCCAGAAAGUCACCUGAUGUUUUGUCUCUCACUGUCUUAAUGAACAGAAAGUUUGGGUGAAAAUCAGAAACUCUCCCCAACUUCCCCCUGCCUUUAAUAGUCCAAAAGGUAUUAACAUAAAAAGAUCCUAAAAUUAAUUUCUUCCAACUUAUCUCCCCUUAGGCGUAUGAGUCUGACUUGAAAAAACAACAUCAUUUCCAAACUAGUGAAGGAAAGAAAAAAAAAAGAUCAAUAAACUGUUGGCCCUGCAGCACAGAUGCCCUUGCAAGGCCAAAGAAAUUAAGUCCCGAGAUUGCUGUUGCCAUUUCCACCUUGUCCUGCAGAACCACAGUCAGGGAUAAACAUAUUCUUUGUGUCAAUAUUUCUGUAGUACCGAGAGAACUUGCAGUCCUUAUCUGCGGGUGUCAAGGACUGCUAAGUUAAAGUGAUCAUAACAUUACUGGAGAGUCUGACAGGCUUUUUUGUUCCCUCUGUGUCCAUGUAACUGUUCUGGUGCUGAAAGCCGCAGCCCAGUGGAGCUCAGCCAGACAUGGCCAUCAGCUUUGUGGCACAUGGAAGGGAUCCGUCUGCAGGAGGCUAAUUAAAAAAAAAAUAAAUCCCAAAGUAUAAUUUGAACUUCCUUUUAACUUUUUUCUUUGCCUGAUUAUUUUUGCUUCUUUCUUUGGAAAAGAGCAGCCUCGAUCCAUAAAUCACACGGAAAUGUGCAAAUAAUCAAUUCAGCCUGACUAACCCUUGUUUUGCCAAGUGGCCAGUUGGUUCAUCACUUUACUAAUUGGUUGCUGUGGCAGUAAAUGGGGAAUAGCAGGGGCUGGGGCAGAAAUGCCACAGGUGACCUCUAAAGAUAGCAGAGCACUUACCCCGUGCAGACAAUCCCUCUUUUUGCCCAUCCGUGAAGUUCAGACACUUUCCCUUCCAGUCUCCUCAAAAACGAGAGGUCAUUUGUAACAGAAAGCUGUGCAAACUACGUACAGAAGAUGGGAAAAUUUGAGGCAGGAAAAAUCGGCCUCUGUACAGCCCCAUAUGGAAAGGCAAACUGUGUGCAGAGCCAAACAGUUCUUAGGUGUAAACUGUCGAGCAGGGACGAGCCUUUUGCUGCCUUUCCCACCUUUAAUGGGUCUGUGCUACGUGGCAUAACAACGUGGCAACAACCUUCAGCCUACGGUUUCUUUUUGCUUUAUAAUGCAGUGCUAUUAUUAUCCUCAGGGAGAUUUUAAAAGGCUUGAAUGCCAAGGUUUAUUUGCCUUUCCUGACUGGAUCUUUAACACACAGCCAUCAGACAAAAGCCAGUGAAAAGGACCUUAACUUUACGUUAGCCCCAGUGUUUGACUGGGCUGUAGGAAUGUUAAAAAGGUGGUCUGAGUAGAGGAAUCGGUUUGACUGAAGUUUUCUCCCAAAAGGUGGCAAAAGAGGAAUGGAAAAUCCCCAAGCAGAUUGAGGGGCAGAAGCACUAGUAGAUCUUGAAAGGACUUGGUGAGGAGAUGAACAGAGGGAAGGAAAUCUCUUAGCGAUGCACAAAAAGGAUGGGGCAGGGGGAAAGACAAAUGUGUAUCAUAGCGGGCUCAGUUUUGCUGCAGUACCAAAUGAAGGAUGUGAGACAUCGGUCACAACUGCACAAAAAAUCAACCCUAAAAGCCUGUCUCAGCCCAACAGUCAUUUCUGGUUUUCAUGAAAAACUGGCAGCUAAAAUUAAUCAGAAGUCAUUAUAUUUGUCUAGAUCUGUGCAUUUAUCCUGCUGUUAAUAAAAGCUUGUAGUGUUUCCAAAAUCUUGAGCAAGACUUAGAUGUGUGUCUAUUUGCUUUCACUGUUGUGGGGCUCUGAAGAACUAAUCAGUAAAUGAGUUCACAGCUUGAGAAGUGCAUUCAGAUAUCACGGAGCGUUGGAGAAGCGGCUGAGUCAGCCCAGAGGCUGGCAUCUGCCACUGUAGCUUGUCAUUCUUAAUUUUGGGGUUAAACCCCAAAGCAUGCCUGCAGACCCCAAACCCAGGACUGUGGUUUGAGGCCCUUUGUCAUUGUCCUGGGAAAGAAAAUUUCUCAGAUACAAUCUCUGCUCAGAAAAGAUGCUGCAGAGGAUGAAGCUGUUGGACGUAUUUCUCAAGGACAACCCCAGUCUGGGGCUCCAAGUGACAGUGACUUCUGCAUAUUUUCUCAUUAUUCUCUGUUGUACAAUGGCGAGUUUGUGCUGAAGUGAGAUAUCAGAACUCGUGCUAUCGUAUAUCCUGUUUGUUUGUUUUUAACGUGUCCUUUGUCUCUGCCUAGAAAUUUUCUCUGGGCAGAAGAAGAGGACUUUGGAUAUUUGUCCAGGGUGUCCUGAUUUCCAGUAGACUGGUCAGGGCAGUAAUUUCUACAAGAGUGCUGGACACCCAGAAAUGCCUAAGGCAUAGUCACUGAACAUUUGCACAAGGGCUUUGCUGAAGUUUCCCAGCACAGCUGAUCCCAUGUGCACGGCCAAGGGCAUCUGGACACAUGCAAAAAGUUGGUGCAUCCAGAGCUAGUCCCAUAGUGAGCUCAGGUCAGGGGCUCGUCCUGGAUGCUCUGGACUCGCUUCCCAGGCACUCCGUGCGGCUUGCCUGCAUUUUUAAUAUUUUUCCCAGGGAAAUCUCAGGGUGAAAUACAGAGGUCUUAGUUAACACUUGCCUGAUUAAUUCCAUUGCAUUUCACCUCACAGUGAUCACUGUUGCCAUAUAUCGAAUGGGUAAGUUGCUCCGCAGAGUUCUUCAAACGUGCAAAAGCAUCGGAUCCCUCCUCCAUCACAGAGGAGGCACAAAGAAAGGUGGCUGGGCAUCUCCUCCGGCAGCAGCUCGUGUUUGGAUCUGCUUGAGCCCACUGCAAAAGGCUCACCCUCGCACCGCUAGCUUCUGCAGCCGCUCACGGCACAGCCCUGCAGCUCCGAGUGGGCAACACACCCGGCCUCGAGCGGGAAGCAGGAAGGUUGUGGGCCUGGUAAAAUGGGUGAAACUUGAGAAGCAGAACUGCGGCACACACCUAUUUAAUUUCCACAAAAGGUAAAUAUGGAAUUUCACUACCUCUCCAGCAAUUGAAAGUUGGGAACUCCUGUAGCUAAAAUAUAAAGAAAUGGUCUUUUGCAUGUGGAAAACCAACAUUUACAGAAACCUCUAAUGUGUCCCGAUCAUAUGUAGGUUAUAAUAAUGACAAAAUUCAGAUUGUAACUUUUGGUUGUUUUCACAGUAAUAAACAUCAUAAGGGAAUUUCAUAUCUCUACAGCCAACAAAUUAAGUUCCAUUUAAGCUCAGCCUUGAGGAAUCGGGAUUUUAGCUGGAUCUAAAUCUCAUGCCCUUUGCAUUGCAACAAGCUAAACUCCACCUACUCAGGGAACAAAGGGGUUUUAAUUGAGAGAAAACAGCAAGGCAAGGUUUGCCAAAAAUCUAUUUUGGGUAAAAAUAUUUAAGGCCAGCAGUUUUACCAACGUAAUGUUUUUUACCUCAGUGAAGUUACACUAAUGCAGAGUUUGGCCCUGAUGUAUUUGUAUAAAUAUAGUAUCUAGGAAUUUGAUGAGCACGUAUUUAUGCAUUAUUCACUGAGAUAACGUGGAAGACGAGCGAGGUCUGUGCACGAGGGCAGUGCUCUGAGCACCCCGGGGCCUGUGGUGAUACCCACCGGGGUGAGGCAGCUGCGGGGUCCCCUCUGCGCUGCCCCUGGGCCGUGUCUGCCAUGACUUGGCAAGGCUGAGCGUCCUCUUGGGAAGAGACUGGUUUACAUUUGCCAAACCGUGAAACGUGUUACUGGCAAUUCCAAAGCAAUGGAGGCGGAGGACAUCUUUGUCAGUUUAAGGCAUUGAGCUGGAGCUGAAAAGAGAGGAGUCCGCGGCUUGGUUCUGCCACAGACGUUUGGUUUGACCCUCUGUGCCUCAGUUUCCCCAUAAAGUCAUAAAAUGAGGAUAAUCAUUUUUCCUGCAGGACAGCAAGCCCCACAGUGGGAGGGAACGGAUGGUGCUCUGCCCUGUGUAGCCCUCAAAAAGGUGCACAGACCUGUUGUCAUGAGACUGCAUUGUGGUAUCCCAGAUGGUGCCUUCCCAAGGGUCUGAAAAAUGAAAAACUGAAUUUAAAAAACCACUGAUCGAGGAGAAAAACUCACUGCUGCUGCAGCUGGCACCCCGGGAAGCCUCCACAGUGGGGCUGCAGCCUGCAGGAGUGAAACCGCAACCUGGUCCAGGCCAAACAUGCAUGACUGGAGUGUGUGUGUAUGUACAUAUAUAUGUAUAUAUAUAAAAUCAGCACAUGUAUUUUAUAUGAAAAACUA